AUUGAACGCUGGCGGCAGGCCUAACACAUGCACGUCGAACGAAUGGCAGACGGGUGAGUAAUGUCUGGGAAACUGCCUGAUGGAGGGGGAUAACUACUGGAAACGGUAGCUAAUACCGCAUACCAUCAGAUGUGCCCAGAUGGGAUUAGCUUGUUGGUGGGGUAACGGCGCACCAAGGCGACGAUCCCUAGCUGGUCUGAGAGGAUGACCAGCCAGCAUGGAACUGAGACACGUGCCAGACUCCUAGGGGAGGCGGCAGUGGGUAAUAUGGCACAAUGGGCGAAAGCCGGAUGCAGCCAUGCAGCGUGUAUGAAGAAGGCCUUCGGGUUGUAAAGUACUUUCUGCGGGGAGGCGUUACCCGCAGAAGAAGCACCGGCUAACUCCGUGCCAGCAGCCGCGGUAAUAC
This 406-nucleotide ribosomal RNA is filed under the name uncultured bacterium. Its description in RNAcentral is "partial 16S ribosomal RNA". It matches the Rfam family "Bacterial small subunit ribosomal RNA", at positions 30 to 526 of the family's 1533-position model. The record is from RNAcentral.